UACGUAGGUGGCAAGCGUUGUCCGGAAUUACUGGGCGUAAAGGGCGCGUAGGCGGCCGUUUGCGUCGGAUGUGAAAGCCCGGGGCUCAACCUCGGAACGGCAUUCGAUACGGGACGGCUGGAGACCGGGAGAGGAGAGUGGAAUAGCCAGUGUAGAGGUGAAAUUCGUAGAUAUUGGCUGGAACACCGGUGGCGAAAGCGGCUCUCUGGCCCGGUUCUGACGCUGAGGCGCGAAAGCGUGGGGAGCAAACAGG
RNAcentral lists this ribosomal RNA (253 nucleotides) under uncultured bacterium. RNAcentral describes it as "partial 16S ribosomal RNA". It matches the Rfam family "Bacterial small subunit ribosomal RNA", at positions 524 to 776 of the family's 1533-position model. The record is from RNAcentral.